GAAGUUUGAGACCAGCCUGGCCAACAUGGCAAAAACUCAUCUCUACUAAAAAAUACAAAAAAUUAGCCAGGUGUGGUGGUGCACACCUUUAAUCCCAGGCACUCGGGAGGCUGAUACAAGAGAAUCGCUUGAACUGGGGAGGCGGAUGUUGAAGUGAGCCGCAUGCCCAGCUAAUUUUUGUAUUUUUAGUAGAGACGGGGUUUCACUAUGUUCGCCAGGCUGGUCUCGAACUCCUGACCUCAUGAUCCACAUGCCUCGGCCUCCCAAAGUGCUGUGAUUAUAGGCUUGAGCCCCCGCGCCUAGCCUUAUGUUCAUUCUUAAAAUUUAUUUUAAAACAAAUAAUUGUCAGAAUGCACACAUAAGUUUGUCAGAGCAUUAAUUCAUUACCUACUAUGUGUAGGACAGUGAGAUUGUACAGCCCCUUCCUCCUUUGAACUUACAGGUUAUAAAUCAAAUCAUGCUUCAUGUUUGUUUUAACUUGCAACCAUUUUAAAAUCAGAACUUUUUUCAAAGCUGUUGUUAUCUUGUUUAAAAUUAUUCAAAUACCAACUUGGGAGUUUUCCUUAAACUCUAUUCUGCAUUUAUAGAGAAAAUAUUCUGUAUUUAUCUUACGUGCAAAGUAGAAUCUUUGUACUAAAAAUCUGCGACGUGAAAUCUGAAAAAAACAGUGGUCUGUAGCAGUCUUUUAAAGAUUACACGCUUCCACAUUUCCACAUUCCUCAGAUUCUAUCUAUAUUAAGAGCCAUCGUCCUGCGAAGGAUGUGGUCAGUCUGAGUUGCAGUCAGCAAGGUCAGGUUAUCUUUUCUUUCUUCUUUUUUUGAGACAGAUUCUCACUCGAUCGCCCAGGCUGGAGUGCAGUGGCGUGAUCAGCUCACUGUAGCCUCCACCUCGUAGGUUCAAACUAUUCUCGUGCCUCAGCCUCCUGAGUAGCUGGGAUUAUAGGCACCCGCCCCCAUGCUUGGCUAAUUUUUUGUGUUUUUAGUAGAGACAAGGUUUCACCAUAUUGUCCAGGCUGUUUUUGAACUCCUCGCCUCAAGUGAUCUACCUGCCUGAGACUCCCAAAGUGCUGGGAUUGCAGGUGUGAGCCACUGUGCCCAGGCUGUUUAUCUUAAGACCAGAUGUGGCAGCUGGUGCUGGGUAAACGCCCUGUGACUUUUCCUGCUUCACACAAAACAGGAACAAACAGGAGAAAACCGGGCACUUGAGACUUGGGCUAGAGCUGCUUGCUCUUCCAUGCUUUCCUUAAAAAAUGAGUUUGGCUCUCCUUUUUGAGUAGCUGGAGAGCAGCCCCUUACGCUUUCACGAUAAUUGUGUCAAAGUUCCACAUUAGGACAGGACUUUCUGGGUGCGCCUCCGAGUCUCCCCAUGCCUCCAGCAAAGCUGCCACUUCCCUGUUCAGCCCAGUCUGCGUGCUGGGUCCGGCAGGCACUGAGCAGGGCAAGGCUGCGGGGCCUCCUUGCCGCGCUGUGAUUUCGGGCACAGAGGGUCGGCUUCUGUGGUCUUCAGUUUCCCUGGAGCGCCCAGUCCCCUCGCUCACCCCUCCAGUCCACUGUGGGGCCUUACCACCCUUGCUGCCAGGCUGCUCACACCUCCGUUCUGAUCAUCCCUUUGGAGGCGCCAUUCACUGCUGCCCUUACGGUUGCACACCUAAUAACCUAAUGGAAUUGUCUCUGAUUGUGUUAACUGUGUAAGAAAACGCAGUAUGGCUUUCAGAUUAAAUUCCUCUGCCUCUGUGGGCCAGCAUUAUUUCCGGUUUUCAAAUGCAAACUCAUACGUGCUUGUGGUCCUUUCAUAUCAAUUCAAACUUGAAUUAAACAGGUGAAAAUGUUGCCCUGUCUCCAGGUAGAUUGCGUCAAGAUUGAGUUUGAGGAGACCUGACUGGCGUCUCUGGCUCGUUGCAGGGAAAGCGGCCACGUUUCUGUGUUGAUUGUUGUGUUGGUGUAAGAGCAGAGGAGAAAAAUGGUUUGAGUUUUUCCCCAAACAGUAGGAAAUUUACCUUUAAUUUAAA
Molecule: long non-coding RNA, 2008 nt
Filed under: Homo sapiens (human)
Lineage: Eukaryota; Metazoa; Chordata; Mammalia; Primates; Hominidae
Description: HSALNT0235145
Source: RNAcentral